Ribosomal RNA from Anolis carolinensis (green anole), 119 nucleotides. Lineage: Eukaryota; Metazoa; Chordata; Lepidosauria; Squamata; Anolidae. The record is from Rfam.
ACUGAGGGCCUAAAUACCCUUAAGACACCAUAUCCUAUUUAAUCUAGAAAACUAAGCAGGGUCACCCCUGGUGAGUAUGUUGAUGGGAGACUGCCAAUUAAUGCCAGGUGCUCUUGGCU